CUUGACGACCAUAGAGCAUUGGAACCACCUGAUCCCAUCCCGAACUCAGCAGUGAAACGAUGCAUCGCCCGAUGGUAGUGUGGGGUUUCCCCCAUGUGAGAGUAGGUCAUCGUCAAGA
Molecule: ribosomal RNA, 118 nt
Filed under: Pseudomonas fluorescens
Lineage: Bacteria; Pseudomonadati; Pseudomonadota; Gammaproteobacteria; Pseudomonadales; Pseudomonadaceae
Source: RNAcentral